This 368-nucleotide unclassified non-coding RNA is filed under the name Hevea brasiliensis (rubber tree). Lineage: Eukaryota; Viridiplantae; Streptophyta; Magnoliopsida; Malpighiales; Euphorbiaceae. The record is from RNAcentral.
ACAAGACAUAUUGGGGAAGCCAGAACUCUUUGCCCGGGGAAAGCUUGUUAUGUUGAGGACGUGUAAUCAGUUGCUUCGUCGUCUAUCAAAGGCAAAUGAUGUUGUUUUCUGUGGGCGCAUUAUCAUGUUUCUAGCUCACUUCUUCCCCUUAUCUGAGCGUUCUGCUGUAAAUAUAAAGGGUGUUUUCAAUACAUCGAAUGAGACAAAGUAUGAGACAGAAGUUCCUGAUGGUAUUUCUAUUGAUUUCAACUUUUAUAGAACACUUUGGAGUCUACAGGAAUACUUCUGCAAUCCACCAUCCUUGAUUAAUGCUCCCGGCAAGUGGCACAAAUUUACAUCCAGUUUGACGCUUGUUCUAAACACUUUCG